GAACGAGGAUAUAUCCUUCGGGAUAUAAGCCGAGUGGCACAAGGGUGAGCAAUGCAUAGAUUACCUACCUUUAGGAUAAGGGCAACUUUGUGAAAACGGAGCUAAUACUUAAUAAUACAAAAGAAAAUAAUUUUCUUUUGUCAAAGGGAGGGUAGCAAUACCUUUCGCCUAGAGAGGGGUUUAUGUCCUAUCAGCUUGUUGGUGGGGUAAUAGCCCACCAAGGCGAAGACGGGUAGCCGGUUUAAGAGGAUGGUCGGCCACACUGGGACUGAGACACUGCCCAGACUUCUACGGAAGGCUGCAGUCGAGAAUCUUUCGCAAUGCCCGAAAGGGUGACGAAGCGACGCCGCGUGGGUGAAGAAGGCCUUCGGGUUGUAAAGCCCUGUCAGGAGUUAUGAAAUGUAAGUGCGCUAAUAUCGUGCUUAUUUGACAAAGGCUCCAAAGGAAGCCACGGCUAACUCUGUGCCAGCAGCCGCGGUAAUACAGAGGUGGCGAGCGUUGUUCGGAAUUAUUGGGCGUAAAGAGCACGUAGGUGGGUUUGCAAGUCAGAUGUGAAAGCCUUCUGUUCAACGGAAGAAUUGCAUCUGAAACUGCUAAUCUUGAGUAUAGGAGGGGAGAAUGGAACUUCUGGUGGAGCGGUGAAAUGCGUAGAUAUCAGAAGGAACGCCGGCGGCGAAAGCGAUUCUCUGGCCUAUUACUGACACUCAGUGUGCGAAAGCUAGGGGAGCAAACGGGAUUAGAUACCCCGGUAGUCCUAGCCGUAAACGAUGGGCACUAAGUAGAGGGAAUUACCUAUAUUCUCUCUGCCGUAGCUAACGCAUUAAGUGCCCCGCCUGGGGAGUACGGCCGCAAGGCUAAAACUCAAAAGAAUUGACGGGGGCUCGCACAAGCGGUGGAGCAUGUGGCUUAAUUCGAUGCAACGCGAAAAACCUUACCGGGGCUUGACAUGAUAGAAGUAGGAACCUGAAAGGGGGACGAACGGUAUCCAGUCCGUAGCUAUCACAGGUGUUGCAUGGCUGUCGUCAGCUCGUGUCGUGAGACGUUGGGUUAAGUCCCCUAACGAGCGAAACCCUUGUUUUUAGUUACCAGCGGGUUAUGCCGGGUACUCUAGAAAGACUGCCGUCGUCAAGACGGAGGAAGGUGGGGAUGACGUCAAGUCAUCAUGGCCCUUAUGCCCCGGGCUGCACACGUGCUACAAUGGUCGGUACAGACGGAAGCGAAGCCGAGAGGUGAAGCGAAUCCUAAAAAGCCGAUCUCAGUUCGGAUUGGAGGCUGAAAUUCGCCUCCAUGAAGUUGGAAUCGCUAGUAAUCGCGGAUCAGCAAUGUCGCGGUGAAUAUGUUCCCGAGCCUUGUACACACCGCCCGUCAAGCCACCCAAGCAGGAUGCACCCGAAAACAUUAUAUCUAACCAGGGCAACUUGGAGGAAAAUGUUGAAGGAGUGUUUUGUGA
Molecule: ribosomal RNA, 1450 nt
Filed under: uncultured anaerobic ammonium-oxidizing bacterium
Lineage: Bacteria
Description: 16S ribosomal RNA
Rfam family: Bacterial small subunit ribosomal RNA
Source: RNAcentral